Long non-coding RNA from Beta vulgaris subsp. vulgaris (sugar beet), 2737 nucleotides. RefSeq lists it as uncharacterized. The transcript is spliced from 3 exons. NCBI's taxonomy places the organism in Eukaryota, Viridiplantae, Streptophyta, Magnoliopsida, Caryophyllales, Amaranthaceae. The record is from RefSeq and is a predicted model, not a curated record.
UUCAGGGGCAUCAAAAUAACGUCCUUGAAGAUUGAAAUAAGACAUUUUAUAUUUAUUAAUUAUGGAGAUUAAGAGUUCAGUUCCGGUUAUGGUCUUGAAGAAGAGUAAUAAACUGCAGAUUGAUGUUCUAUCUGCAAUUUCAUCAUGGUACAACAACAUCAUGCUUUUCUGGUGCUCUCUAAAUCUCUUUAAAGCUUCUGCAAUUCAAUUCAAAAUUCGGUAAAUCAGUUUCGUUCUUUGUAGUUUUAUGUUCCAAAAAUUUGUUCUUCGAUCUUCGUUGAUCUCUAAAAUUCUGAAUUUCUUGCAUUGUCAUCUAAAAUUUUCGUCCUACAUAUCCAAAUCAAAAUACAAGCCUGAUUUCUUUCUAGAUUUUAGGGACUAACCUUUUAACUUUUUCACUUUUUAGGUACUCACUAUUUUUUUUUCACCUCUUAGGUGCUCAAUCCAUAUUCUGAUAAUUUUACCAUAGUUUAACCAUAGUAGUGGGCCUUAGUUUAUGACUUGAAAAACAUUGCCACGAUAUUUCUUUUUACGCCAAAACAGCCAAAACACAUAUGAGUAAUUUUAACUCCAAAGAAAUUGACUUGGCAUAAACCCCUCCCAUAAGUUCAACUUCUCAUAUUUCUCUCUGUUCUUCGAAACACUCUUAUGGGCAAAUUAUCAAACACUUGCGAUUGAGAAGGAAUUUAAAGGUCAAUUAUCUACCCAAUAAUUCAAGUAUGCAAGUGAUAAACAAAGAAGCAAUAGAUCAACUUUAUCAAGUCGUCAAGUUGCAAAUGUUGGAUGUUCAAGUUAAAUUAUUGCCACUAAUCAGGUAUCCCAGAGUUCAGCUUUUAUUUCAUCAUCUGUGGACCUCGUGACUGUGCCAUUCACAAAUCCCAGUUUUCGUUUUGAAGAGAAGUUGAUAUCUAUUGAUCUCCUCCAUGCCCUGUAGUCUACUGAGCUCUGCAAUUUUUCCACUUGAAUGGUGCUUGUACUAUUAGAAGGAUGCAAGAACAAAGGAUUCAGCAUAUCUUGGAAUGCUAUUCUUCCUGCUGCUGCUGCCAUUUUUCUUUGGUUUUAAAAGAUGGGAAAUUUUUUGUUGAGAAAAGAAGAUGAGAUAUAGAAGAGUAUAGAAUAAUAGAUCAGAAGAGGAAAUAGAGAAGAGAAAGACUUUUCAAAAUAUGAAGAAAGAUGUUUGGACAGAUUUCUCUAACUACAAUGGUGGCUCUGAUACCAUGAUAACUUUUAGUCUCAGUAUGAACUAUUUUCCAUUGCAGAGGAAAUUUUUAGAGCACAGAAUUUCAGAGAGAACGUUUUCUAUUUCAUUCAAAAGCUUAACCUGUAGCGUUGUCACCUUAUUACAAUAUAUAGGGCUAAUAGUACUAGAGGCCCACUGAACAGCGAAUUAAGGCACGCCACGUGUAUUGUGCAGGCUGCUUUUGUAACGCUUCUUUUUCUACUAUUUCCAACGGUUAUUUUGUAACGUUAAUAUUUUUAAUUUGUAACGUUAAUAGAAAAAAUUCAGCUUAUUAUUUAAAAAAAAAAAUUACACCAACGGCUAUAAAAAAUUUUUAUCUAUAAAUUGAGUCCAAAUUUCAUAUAUUUUACCAAAAUUCUUUCCAACUCAUUUUUUUCUAAUUACUCUCUCCCACCUAAUAUUACUUAUACUAAGCCAAUAUUAUGGAUUCAAAUAAUCCUAAUUACUCCCAAACUAAUCCAAACCACCCACAAAAUUCCCAAAAUAAUUUUCAAAUCGAUCCAAGCUAAGUGUGCUACAAAAUCCGGAAUUCCAAAGAAUGUUUAUGUUUUUUCAAAGCCAAUGGAAUAACCAAAAUUCUCAACAAGUUACACAAGAAUCUCCACAAAGUUCUAAUCAUCUAUCGCAACAACAAGUUGAACCAUCUUUUCCUAUAUCCCAACAUAUUUCACAACAACAUGAACAACCUAACGAAAAGGACGAUGUAAACGAAAUCUAUUCGCAAGAAAUUCAAAACACUCCUUCUUCAAAAAAAAGUCACAACACCAAAGUUUCCAUGGAGUGCAGAUGAAGAUCAUGCACUCAUUUCGGCAUAUCUAGAGUACGGAUGAGAUAUGUUGAAGGGAACCGACCAAAAUGGUGACGGUUUUUGGGGUUCAGUAUUUGAGAAGGUUGAAGAGUCACGACGACUCAAUCCAACUUUACGCUCAAGGACAUUCAGAGCUAUUACUAGUCGUUGGAAAAAAAUCAACGGAGAUGUGAAUGCAUGGGUCGGGAUAUAUACCGAGGCAAAAAGGAAGAAGGGUUCCGGCUGCAAUGACGAAGACGUCCUGACUGAAGCCCAUGAGAUGUGAAUAAAAGUCCAUGGGCCUCAAUUUACAUUGGAGCAUGCAUGGAAUGUUAUGAAACACUACGACAUAUGGACAGAUGGCACCCAAUUGAGCGGCGGGAGCUCAAAACGAUCUGGUCCAGAUGAAGGUGUGAGCUCAAAACGUCCUGACGGCGUCAAGAAAGUUAAGAAAAGCCCCAAUAUCCAGUUCUACAUCUCCAUCCUCUUUGGAAAUUACGACGAGGAGGAUCAGUGUGGGAGAGGACUUACUUGAGUGUCAAAAGGAGUGUGAUGCCUUGAGAUAAUCAACAAAAGAGGAAGAUAGAAAGUUCAAAAUUUGGAAUAUAUUAAUGGCUAAGUCUUCCCUUGAUCCGGAUGAGAGAGAGAUGUAUGAAAAACUUAAGCUACAAUUUAAGGACAAAUAUGUUUAGUUAGUGUUCAUGUUUUUA